RNAcentral lists this long non-coding RNA (278 nucleotides) under Physcomitrium patens. RNAcentral describes it as "long non-coding RNA (PPAT_LNC010900)". Lineage: Eukaryota; Viridiplantae; Streptophyta; Bryopsida; Funariales; Funariaceae. The record is from RNAcentral.
AUCUAACACAGGAAUUAAUAUUCGUUUAUCAAUCCAAAUAAUAAUAUGUAAAUGAAAGCUGUACCGAAAAUUCAAACAUAAUUGUACAAGUCAUACUUACUUGCUAUAUACAGUUAAUUAUAAAUAGAGGGAGAAAUUUUAAAAAAUAUAAUUCUUUCAGUGGAAGCACGUCGUAGAUAUUCGAGUAACUACAAUCCUUAGUUGAGGAUUUUAUACUAUCCUCUUUGAAAUGGUUCAUGGCAAACUGACCACAACACAAAAAACAAAAAAAACAAAAU